Molecule: RNA transcript, 1720 nt
Organism: Cebus imitator (Panamanian white-faced capuchin)
Lineage: Eukaryota; Metazoa; Chordata; Mammalia; Primates; Cebidae
Gene name: high mobility group protein HMG-I/HMG-Y-like
Exons: 1
Source: RefSeq, a predicted model, not a curated record
AGGCAACCCGGAGUGCAUACCGCAGGCCAGCUGCCGAGCUUGCGCAUCCCAGCCAUCACUCUUCCACCUGCCCCUUAGAGUAGAGAAGAUGAGCAAGUUGAACUCGAAGUCCAGCCAGCCCUUGGCCUCCAAGCAGAAAAAGGACGGCAUUGAGAAGUGGGCCCAGGGCAGGCCACACAAGCAGCCUCCAGUGAGUCCCAGGACAGCGCUGGUAGGGAGUCAGAAGGAGCCUAGUCAAGUGUCAACACCUAAGAGACCUCGGGACAGACCAAAGGGAAGCAAAAACAAGGGUGCUACCAAGACCUGAAAAAUCACCACAGUUCUAGGAAGGAAACCAAGGGACAGACCCAAAAAACUGGAGGAGGAGGAAAAGGAGGGCAGCUCACAGGAGUCCGUGGAGGAGGAGCAGUGACCAUAUGUGCUGUUGGCUCCUCACUGGAGGAGCAGCUUCCUUUUGGGACAGGACGGCUAUGCUCAAUUCCCACCACCCCCAUCCCUUCCCCAGGCCCACCAUCACCAGCGGCGGUGGCCACCCCCAUCUUCUACCUGUGCCCUUACCACCACACCACACAGCACACCAGCUGCUGCAGGGCCCCCAUGCGCUGACUUGGGAGGAUUGCCCCCCACCCGGUUCCUUCCCCUUCCCCCCCACUCAUGCAUACACACGUGCCCUCCUGGACAAAGCCAAUGUCCCACUUAGCCACACCCUGACCCUGCUGCAUCCCCACUCCCUUGAUAGUGGGGACAUUGUUCUCUGGGCUUUUGGUUUGGGGACCACCUCUCUGCUCCUCCACUGUUCCCUCUGGCUUCCCAUAGAGGGGCCUGGGAGGGUUCCCCUGGCCUUAAAAGGGGCCCAAGCCCCCAUUCUGGGAUGCCUCACUCCACUGUCCUGGCAGCAGAAGGUGUGGCCUAUGGAAGGGGGUGCUGGCCCCCAGGAUUCCCUCACCCAAACUGUCUUUGUCACCACGUGGGGCUCACACCUUUCAUUGUUCCCUACCUUCCCUAGUCCCUGCACUAGGUUGGACAGCCCCCAUUGGCUACAGAAAAGCAGGAGGGGUGUGAGUCCCCUCCUCCCUCUUUGCAGUGGCUCCAGCCCCCUUGCCUUCUGCCUGGGAUCUGAGUACAUAUUGCAGUGAUGGAGAUUCAGUCACCUAUUGUCCUGGUGGGGCCCAUGAGCCCUGUGGCAGCCACCUGAGGUGGGCUGGGGCUGCUCCCCCAACCCUACUUUGCUUCCACCACUCAGCCAUUUCCCCCUCCUCAGAUGGGGCACCAAUAACAAGGAGGUCACCCUGCCUGGUCCCAAUCCUCCUGCUCUUCCCACCCCCCAAAAGUUCUGAUUCCAUCCAUUUUUCCUCUGUUCAUAAACUAAUUCUGGGCAGUUGUGUUGUUUUUGGUUCAAUGUUCCAUUCUUUGACAUCUGUUAUUGCUGCUGCUACCAGCGCCAAAUGUUCAUCCUCAUUGCCUCCUGCUCUGCCUAUGAUCCCCUCCCUGAGAUACUCUUUGUGGGGAAGAGGGGGUGGGACAUGGCAGGCUGGGUGACCAACUAUCCCAGUUGGGGUCCUGCACGUAGGAUGCUGCAGCUGAGUGAGCAAGGGGCCCCCAAUCGACCAUAAAGGGUAUAGGGGCCACCUCCUCUCCCUGGUCUGUCAGGGAGGGAUAGCCAUGAUCUGCCCCAACCUGGGGCUCCCCUUCUGGUUUCCUAUUUGCAGUUACUUGAAUU